UACGUAGGGAGCAAGCGUUGUCCGGAUUCACUGGGUGUAAAGGGUGCGCAGGCGGGAAGGUAAGUCGGGGGUGAAAUCUCACAGCUCAACUGUGAAACUGCCUUCGAUACUGCUUUUCUUGAGUUCGGGAGAGGUUGAUGGAAUUCCAGGUGUAGCGGUGAAAUGCGUAGAUAUCUGGAAGAACACCAGUGGCGAAGGCGGUCAACUGGCCCGUAACUGACGCUCAUGCACGAAAGCGUGGGUAGCGAACAGG
This 253-nucleotide ribosomal RNA is filed under the name uncultured bacterium. RNAcentral describes it as "partial 16S ribosomal RNA". It matches the Rfam family "Bacterial small subunit ribosomal RNA", at positions 524 to 776 of the family's 1533-position model. The record is from RNAcentral.